Molecule: transfer RNA, 73 nt
Filed under: Ascaphus truei (coastal tailed frog)
Lineage: Eukaryota; Metazoa; Chordata; Amphibia; Anura; Ascaphidae
Description: transfer RNA-Leu (CUN)
Source: RNAcentral
GCUUUUAAUGGUAAAUAGUUUUUCCGUUGGUUUUAGGAGCCAAAGUUUCUUGGUGCAACUCCAAGUAAAAGCU